GACGAACGCUGGCGGCGUGCUUAACACAUGCAAGUCGAACGGAAAGGCCUCUUUCGGGGGGUACUCGAGUGGCGAACGGGUGAGUAACACGUGAGUAACCUGCCCUUGACUUUGGGAUAACUUCAGUAAACUGGGGCUAAUACCGGAUAGGAGCUCCUGCUGCAUGGUGGGGGUUGGAAAGUUUCGGCGGUUGGGGAUGGACUCGCGGCUUAUCAGCUUGUUGGUGGGGUAGUGGCUUACCAAGGCUUUGACGGGUAGCCGGCCUGAGAGGGUGAGCGGCCACAUUGGGACUGAGAUACGGCCCAGACUCCUACGGGAGGCAGCAGUGGGGAAUAUUGCACAAUGGGUGGAAGCCUGAUGCAGCAGCGCCGUGUGCGGGAUGACGGCCUUCGGGUUGUAAACCGCAUUCGCUCAUGACGAAGCUUUGUGUGACGGUAGUGGGUAAAGAAGCACCGGCUAACUACGUG
Molecule: ribosomal RNA, 467 nt
Filed under: uncultured bacterium
Lineage: Bacteria
Description: partial 16S ribosomal RNA
Rfam family: Bacterial small subunit ribosomal RNA
Source: RNAcentral